CAUGCAAGUCGAACGAACUCUUCGGAGUUAGUGGCGGAUGGGUGAGUAACACGUGGGAACGUGCCUUUAGGUUCGGAAUAACUCAGGGAAACUUGUGCUAAUACCGAAUGUGCCCUUCGGGGGAAAGAUUUAUCGCCUUUAGAGCGGCCCGCGUCUGAUUAGCUAGUUGGUGAGGUAAAGGCUCACCAAGGCGACGAUCAGUAGCUGGUCUGAGAGGAUGAUCAGCCACAUUGGGACUGAGACACGGCCCAAACUCCUACGGGAGGCAGCAGUGGGGAAUCUUGCGCAAUGGGCGAAAGCCUGACGCAGCCAUGCCGCGUGAAUGAUGAAGGUCUUAGGAUUGUAAAAUUCUUUCACCGGGGACGAUAAUGACGGUACCCGGAGAAGAAGCCCCGGCUAACUUCGUGCCAGCAGCCGCGGUAAUACGAAGGGGGCUAGCGUUGCUCGGAAUUACUGGGCGUAAAGGGAGCGUAGGCGGACAUUUAAGUCAGGGGUGAAAUCCCGGGGCUCAACCUCGGAAUUGCCUUUGAUACUGGGUGUCUUGAGUAUGAGAGAGGUGUGUGGAACUCCGAGUGUAGAGGUGAAAUUCGUAGAUAUUCGGAAGAACACCAGUGGCGAAGGCGACACACUGGCUCAUUACUGACGCUGAGGCUCGAAAGCGUGGGGAGCAAACAGGAUUAGAUACCCUGGUAGUCCACGCCGCAAACGAUGAUUGCUAGUUGUCGGGAUGCAUGCAUUUCGGUGACGCAGCUAACGCAUUAAGCAAUCCGCCUGGGGAGUACGGUCGCAAGAUUAAAACUCAAAGGAAUUGACGG
RNAcentral lists this ribosomal RNA (815 nucleotides) under uncultured Brevundimonas sp. RNAcentral describes it as "bacterial SSU rRNA". It matches the Rfam family "Bacterial small subunit ribosomal RNA", at positions 54 to 916 of the family's 1533-position model. The record is from RNAcentral. Lineage: Bacteria; Pseudomonadati; Pseudomonadota; Alphaproteobacteria; Caulobacterales; Caulobacteraceae.